Long non-coding RNA from Syngnathus typhle (broad-nosed pipefish), 613 nucleotides. RefSeq lists it as uncharacterized. The transcript has 3 exons. NCBI's taxonomy places the organism in Eukaryota, Metazoa, Chordata, Actinopteri, Syngnathiformes, Syngnathidae. The record is from RefSeq and is a predicted model, not a curated record.
UGCCUUUGCCUUACUUUUUUCUUUUGCCUUUCGGUCUUUACGUUUAUAUUACAUUACACCCGGUAAUUAAUAAAUAGCGGCCAAGAAAAAUGACUUCACAGCGGGAGAGCGUACUACCUCCACGCACAGACGCACACACAAAAUAAAGGAGGAAACUAACUGAUUUCUUAAAGGAAGAAAUAUCCAACGUUUUCUUGGUUCAUCAAUGUGACAUUAUUGCAUAUAGCAGAAUAUAGACCAAAAACAAAAAGAACGAUUGCCCGCGUUUUGUGCAAUAUUGCCCUCCUCCUGUUAGGGUGUACUGUACAAGUGUACAGGAGCCCUCUCCAGCGGUGCAUCGUGGGAAGGAAAAAGCCUCCUUCAAAGCCGCAGAUGGCCAUGCACUCGCUCCUCUACUCUGGCACAUUGGCAUCAGUUACACCAUAAUUUCAUCACCAGCUGCUCCUUGUGAAUCCUGCUUUACAUUAACUUUUUACAAGGAUUGGCAACACAAAGGCAGGGGUGCACAGCAGUGCCAGCACUCCAACCCAUUUUGCCUCCAAUAUACAAGAGUUUGUUUCAACAUUUUUGUUGCUUAAGCGCUGUAUAUGUUGAAUGAAAUGAGUUGAACAGA